Molecule: ribosomal RNA, 496 nt
Filed under: uncultured bacterium
Lineage: Bacteria
Description: partial 16S ribosomal RNA
Rfam family: Bacterial small subunit ribosomal RNA
Source: RNAcentral
GAUGAACGCUGGCGGCGUGCCUAAUACAUGCAAGUCGAGCGAACGGACGAGAAGCUUGCUUUUCUGAUGUUAGCGGCGGACGGGUGAGUAACACGUGGAUAACCUACCUAUAAGACUGGGAUAACUUCGGGAAACCGGAGCUAAUACCGGAUAAUAUUUUGAACCGCAUGGUUCAAAAGUGAAAGACGGUCUUGCUGUCACUUAUAGAUGGAUCCGCGCUGCAUUAGCUAGUUGGUAAGGUAACGGCUUACCAAGGCAACGAUGCAUAGCCGACCUGAGAGGGGGAUCGGCCACACUGGAACUGAGACCCGUCCCAGACCCCUAGGGGGGGCAGCAGUAGGGAAUCUUCCGCAAUGGGCGAAAGCCUGACGGAGCAACGCCGGGUGAGUGAUGAAGGUCUUCGGAUCGUAAAACUCUGUUAUUAGGGAAAAACAUAUGUGUAAGUAACUGUGCCCAUCUUGACGGUACCUAACAAGAAAGCCCCGGCUAACUACGU